GGGGAAGUAUGGUUGCAAAGCUGAAACUUAAAGGAAUUGACGGAAGGGCACCACCAGGAGUGGAGCCUGCGGCUUAAUUUGACUCAACACGGGGAAACUCACCCGGCCCGGACACCGUAAGGAUUGACAGAUUGAUAGCUCUUUCAUGAUUCGGUGGUUGGUGGUGCAUGGCCGUUCUUAGUUCGUGGAUCGAUUUGUCUGGUUUAUUCCGAUAACGAGCGAGACUCUAGCCUACUAAAUAGUAACAGGAUUAUCUUCACGAUUGUCCUUUUGUUGCUUCUUAGAGGGAUUUUCGGUGUUUAGCCGCACGAGAUUGAGCAAUAACAGGUCUGUGAUGCCCUUAGAUGUCCGGGGCUGCACGCGCGCUACACUGGCGAAAUCAGCGUGCUGUAUCCAUUCUCGAAAGGGAUUGGUAAACCCAUGAAAAUUUGCCGUGCUUGGGAUCGGAAAUUGCAAUUAUUUUCCGUGAACGAGGAAUUCCAAGUAAGUGCGAGUCAUCAACUCGCUCUGAUUACGUCCCUGCCCUUUGUACACACCGCCCGUCGCUGCCCGGGACUGAGCCAUUUCGAGAAGAUCAGGGACCGGUGGACUGUGGCUUUCUUUCGGGGGAGUCCGGUUCGCUGGAAACUGAUUUGAUCGCAGUGGCUUGAACCGGGCAAAAGUCGUAACAAGGUAGCCGUAGGUGAACCUGCGGCUGGAUCAUUAUCGAGCAUAAAUGAUAAAUUUUUUUAUGGAUGACAUGCUAGGAGCGGUCCGUUCGUAUGACGGAUGCGGCUCGUCACCAGUGAACCAACGGCUCUCGGUUGGCGUCUAACACAGUUCUCGAGCAGUUGUGCCUAAGUCCGUGGCUGUGAUGAAAGAACUGAGGUACGCAUACGUCCUGNUAGUCUCA
Molecule: ribosomal RNA, 892 nt
Filed under: Cephalobidae sp. 255Ceph1
Lineage: Eukaryota; Metazoa; Nematoda; Chromadorea; Rhabditida; Cephalobidae
Description: bacterial SSU rRNA
Rfam family: Eukaryotic small subunit ribosomal RNA (bases 1-705)
Source: RNAcentral